This 489-nucleotide ribosomal RNA is filed under the name Asaia sp. Its description in RNAcentral is "bacterial SSU rRNA". It matches the Rfam family "Bacterial small subunit ribosomal RNA", at positions 133 to 654 of the family's 1533-position model. The record is from RNAcentral. Lineage: Bacteria; Pseudomonadati; Pseudomonadota; Alphaproteobacteria; Acetobacterales; Acetobacteraceae.
UGGGUGGGGGAUAACAUCGGGAAACUGGUGCUAAUACCGCAUGAUACCUGAGGGUCAAAGGCGCAAGUCGCCUGUGGAGGAGCCUGCGUUCGAUUAGCUUGUUGGUGGGGUAAAGGCCUACCAAGGCGAUGAUCGAUAGCUGGUCUGAGAGGAUGAUCAGCCACACUGGGACUGAGACACGGCCCAGACUCCUACGGGAGGCAGCAGUGGGGAAUAUUGGACAAUGGGCGAAAGCCUGAUCCAGCAAUGCCGCGUGUGUGAAGAAGGUCUUCGGAUUGUAAAGCACUUUCGACGGGGACGAUGAUGACGGUACCCGUAGAAGAAGCCCCGGCUAACUUCGUGCCAGCAGCCGCGGUAAUACGAAGGGGGCUAGCGUUGCUCGGAAUGACUGGGCGUAAAGGGCGCGUAGGCGGUUUACACAGUCAGAUGUGAAAUUCCAGGGCUUAACCUUGGGGCUGCAUUUGAUACGUGUAGACUAGAGUGUGAGAG